CAACUUUCAACAACGGAUCUCUUGGUUCUGGCAUCGAUGAAGAACGCAGCGAAAUGCGAUAAGUAGUGUGAAUUGCAGAAUUCAGUGAAUUAUCGAAUCUUUGAACGCACAUUGCGCCCUUUGGUAUUCCAAAGGGCAUGCCUGUUCGAGCGUCAUU
Molecule: ribosomal RNA, 157 nt
Filed under: Alternaria tenuissima
Lineage: Eukaryota; Fungi; Ascomycota; Dothideomycetes; Pleosporales; Pleosporaceae
Description: 5.8S ribosomal RNA
Rfam family: 5.8S ribosomal RNA
About the family: 5.8S ribosomal RNA (5.8S rRNA) is a component of the large subunit of the eukaryotic ribosome. It is transcribed by RNA polymerase I as part of the 45S precursor that also contains 18S and 28S rRNA.
Source: RNAcentral